CAACCCUCGAGCCCCUCCGGGGGCUCGGCGUUGGGGAUCGGGACCCCUCACCGGGUGCCGGCCCUGAAAUCCAGUGGCGGUCUCGCCGCGGCCUCUCCUGCGCAGUAGCUUGCACAAGACUCGCAACGGGAGCGCGGCGCGCCCACGUCCGUAAAACACCCAACUUCCGGAA
RNAcentral lists this unclassified non-coding RNA (172 nucleotides) under uncultured Trichoderma. Its description in RNAcentral is "sequence contains ITS2". The record is from RNAcentral. Lineage: Eukaryota; Fungi; Ascomycota; Sordariomycetes; Hypocreales; Hypocreaceae.